This 273-nucleotide ribosomal RNA is filed under the name uncultured bacterium. RNAcentral describes it as "partial 16S ribosomal RNA". It matches the Rfam family "Bacterial small subunit ribosomal RNA", at positions 524 to 796 of the family's 1533-position model. The record is from RNAcentral.
AACGUAGGGGACAAGCGUUAUCCGGAUUUACUGGGCGUAAAGCGCCCGUAGGCGGCUUGAUAAGUUGGACGUGAAAGCUCCCGGCUUAACUGGGAGAGGCCGUUCAAAACUGUCAAGCUAGAGUGAGGAAGAGGAGAGCAGAAUUCCCGGUGUAGUGGUGGAAUGCGUAGAGAUCGGGAGGAAUACCAGUGGCGAAAGCGGCUCUCUGGUCCUAAACUGACGCUGAGGGGCGAAAGCGUGGGGAGCGAACGGGAUUAGAAACCCCCGUAGUCC